UUAUGCGUCUGGACGCAUAAUCCGUCUUCUACAUUAUUCGUCUAGUAUUCUUUGUCCCGUCUUUAUACUAGACGAAUAAUGUAGAAGACGGAUUAUGCGUCCAGACGCAUUAUGCG
Non-coding RNA from Paramuricea clavata, 116 nucleotides. Lineage: Eukaryota; Metazoa; Cnidaria; Anthozoa; Malacalcyonacea; Plexauridae. The record is from the annotation of a GenBank genome assembly.